UAGGCAGACAGUAAAGUACCCGAUGCACAAGCCGCCCACGAAAAAACCAUAACGGGAUUAUUAGCUGCUCUAGGCGGAGCAAACUUAAUCUAUGGUUUGG
Molecule: regulatory RNA element, 100 nt
Organism: Desulfosporosinus orientis DSM 765
Lineage: Bacteria; Bacillati; Bacillota; Clostridia; Eubacteriales; Desulfitobacteriaceae
Rfam family: Pyrrolysine insertion sequence mttB
Source: Rfam